This 249-nucleotide long non-coding RNA is filed under the name Homo sapiens (human). Its description in RNAcentral is "HSALNT0076503". The record is from RNAcentral. Lineage: Eukaryota; Metazoa; Chordata; Mammalia; Primates; Hominidae.
UAUAUUGUGAUUUCUGAAUCAAAAUACUAGCUGGUCUCAAAACCUUCAAGGACACUCAACAAUAGUUUGUAUCAAGGAACACAAAAUCUUUACUAGUAAAAUUUCCAGCCCACUCAGUUAAAAACACCAGAUAGCACUAUUGAAAAGAUGUGUGAAGAAAUUGAGAGGGGCAUGAAUGAAAACUGGUUGGCAAGAUACCAGGAAAAAUUAGAAUAAAUGAUCUGGACUAACUUGGAGAAAGAGGCCUUG